Molecule: long non-coding RNA, 771 nt
Organism: Oreochromis aureus
Lineage: Eukaryota; Metazoa; Chordata; Actinopteri; Cichliformes; Cichlidae
Source: Ensembl
AAAAACACAAGUAUAGGCUCAUAAGGCCACGAUGGUAAAAAAAAAUCUACAUUUCCGCAAAAUGACGUCACUUCCGGUUUCGGGCAGGUCAUGCGAGAAGGGUCUGGCUGCAGCCACUGUGGAGCUCCACAGUAACCGGAAACACGUGACCUCCACAGUAACCGGAAACACGUGACCUCCACAGUAGGCAGAAAUACGUUCCUGCGUGGAUCAUCGACUGUGGAAAUCUUGCAAGUGGAUCGUAAAGAUGCUCAUAUCAAUUUGGAGUUCUGCCUCCAAGCCAGAAUUGCAGGAAUGCACAACAUGUUGCAGAAGACUUUCACUGCCCUCUGUGCCCCACUCUCAGCCCUACUGUCAAGGCAAAGAUUGAGGAGCAUAUAAAUGGACACAUUAAAAAUGCUUUGCCUUUCAAAGACAAAAUGAUAUGCCGGUGCACUUUCACUGCCCUGUCUGUAACAUGACAGUCAUACAGCGUGGGGAUAUGGCAAGGCAAUUAUUGUCAUGUCAGCAUUCAGGACUGCUCCCCGCUGAACUCUCUGUGGAGCCACAUCUCCCUCUCGAUGUCUUGUCUCCAGCAUCUAAACCAUUUUCUGAAUCUUCAGUAGAACAUUCAUGUGCUCUACCCUCUGUGCUAAAUGAAACUGUGGCUUGUGGAAAGUCCUUGUCUUAGUCUUCUUAAAAAAAACUUCAAGGCUCACACGAUGAGGAGGCAUUCAAACAGGUCAAUAGAUGUUUGCCUGGCCUGUCAUCUGCAGUGUUUUUGUGUGGAGG